RNAcentral lists this ribosomal RNA (460 nucleotides) under uncultured bacterium. RNAcentral's name for it is "partial 16S ribosomal RNA". It matches the Rfam family "Bacterial small subunit ribosomal RNA", at positions 338 to 795 of the family's 1533-position model. The record is from RNAcentral.
CCUACGGGUGGCAGCAGUGAGGAAUAUUGGUCAAUGGGCGCGAGCCUGAACCAGCCAAGUCGCGUGAAGGAUGACUGCCCUACGGGUUGUAAACUUCUUUUAUCAAGGAAUAAAGUGAGGCCCGUGUGCCUUUUUGUAUGUACUUUAUGAAUAAGGAUCGGCUAACUCCGUGCCAGCAGCCGCGGUAAUACGGAGGAUCCGAGCGUUAUCCGGAUUUAUUGGGUUUAAAGGGGGCGUAGAGGGGUUGUUAAGUCAGUUGUGAAAGUUUGCGGCUCAACCGUAAAGUUGCAAUUGAUACUGGCAGUCUUGAGGAGAGGAGAGGUAGGCGGAAUGCGUGGUGUAGCGGUGAAAUGCUUAGAUAUCACGAAGAACUCCGAUUGCGAAGGCAGCAUACUGAACUGCAACUGACAUUGAGGCUCGAAAGUGUGGGUAUCAAACAGGAUUAGAUACCCUUGUAGUC